This 77-nucleotide transfer RNA is filed under the name Rhodospirillaceae bacterium. RNAcentral's name for it is "tRNA-Pro". It matches the Rfam family "tRNA". Rfam says of the family: Transfer RNA (tRNA) molecules are approximately 80 nucleotides in length. Their secondary structure includes four short double-helical elements and three loops (D, anti-codon, and T loops). Further hydrogen bonds mediate the characteristic L-shaped molecular structure. tRNAs have two regions of fundamental functional importance: the anti-codon, which is responsible for specific mRNA codon recognition, and the 3' end, to which the tRNAs corresponding amino acid is attached (by aminoacyl-tRNA synthetases). tRNAs cope with the degeneracy of the genetic code in two manners: having more than one tRNA (with a specific anti-codon) for a particular amino acid; and 'wobble' base-pairing, i.e. permitting non-standard base-pairing at the 3rd anti-codon position. Lineage: Bacteria; Pseudomonadati; Pseudomonadota; Alphaproteobacteria; Rhodospirillales; Rhodospirillaceae. The record is from RNAcentral.
CGGGGCGUAGCUCAGCCUGGCAGAGCGCCUGCUUUGGGAGCAGGAGGCCGCAGGUUCGAAUCCUGCCGCCCCGACCA